GUAUAGACCCGAAACCCGGUGAUCUAGCCAUGGGCAGGUUGAAGGUUGGGUAACACUAACUGGAGGACCGAACCGACUAAUGUUGAAAAAUUAGCGGAUGACUUGUGGCUGGGGGUGAAAGGCCAAUCAAACCGGGAGAUAGCUGGUUCUCCCCGAAAGCUAUUUAGGUAGCGCCUCGUGAAUUCAUCUCCGGGGGUAGAGCACUGUUUCGGCAAGGGGGUCAUCCCGACUUACCAACCCGAUGCAAACUGCGAAUACCGGAGAAUGUUAUCACGGGAGACACACGGCGGGUGCUAACGUCCGUCGUGAAGAGGGAAACAACCCAGACCGCCAGCUAAGGUCCCAAAGUCAUGGUUAAGUGGGAAACGAUGUGGGAAGGCCCAGACAGCCAGGAUGUUGGCUUAGAAGCAGCCAUCAUUUAAAGAAAGCGUAAUAGCUCACUGGUCGAGUCGGCCUGCGCGGAAGAUGUAACGGGGCUAAACCAUGCACCGAAGCUGCGGCAGCGACACUAUGUGUUGUUGGGUAGGGGAGCGUUCUGUAAGCCUGUGAAGGUGUACUGUGAGGUAUGCUGGAGGUAUCAGAAGUGCGAAUGCUGACAUAAGUAACGAUAAAGCGGGUGAAAAGCCCGCUCGCCGGAAGACCAAGGGUUCCUGUCCAACGUUAAUCGGGGCAGGGUGAGUCGACCCCUAAGGCGAGGCCGAAAGGCGUAGUCGAUGGGAAACAGGUUAAUAUUCCUGUACUUGGUGUUACUGCGAAGGGGGGACGGAGAAGGCUAUGUUGGCCGGGCGACGGUUGUCCCGGUUUAAGCGUGUAGGCUGGUUUUCCAGGCAAAUCCGGAAAAUCAAGGCUGAGGCGUGAUGACGAGGCACUACGGUGCUGAAGCAACAAAUGCCCUGCUUCCAGGAAAAGCCUCUAAGCAUCAGGUAACAUCAAAUCGUACCCCAAACCGACACAGGUGGUCAGGUAGAGAAUACCAAGGCGCUUGAGAGAACUCGGGUGAAGGAACUAGGCAAAAUGGUGCCGUAACUUCGGGAGAAGGCACGCUGAUAUGUAGGUGAAGUCCCUCGCGGAUGGAGCUGAAAUCAGUCGAAGAUACCAGCUGGCUGCAACUGUUUAUUAAAAACACAGCACUGUGCAAACACGAAAGUGGACGUAUACGGUGUGACGCCUGCCCGGUGCCGGAAGGUUAAUUGAUGGGGUUAGCGGUAACGCGAAGCUCUUGAUCGAAGCCCCGGUAAACGGCGGCCGUAACUAUAACGGUCCUAAGGUAGCGAAAUUCCUUGUCGGGUAAGUUCCGACCUGCACGAAUGGCGUAAUGAUGGCCAGGCUGUCUCCACCCGAGACUCAGUGAAAUUGAACUCGCUGUGAAGAUGCAGUGUACCCGCGGCAAGACGGAAAGACCCCGUGAACCUUUACUAUAGCUUGACACUGAACAUUGAGCCUUGAUGUGUAGGAUAGGUGGGAGGCUUUGAAGUGUGGACGCCAGUCUGCAUGGAGCCGGCCUUGAAAUACCACCCUUUAAUGUUUGAUGUUCUAACGUUGGCCCCUGACCGGGGUUGCGGACAGUGUCUGGUGGGUAGUUUGACUGGGGCGGUCUCCUCCUAAAGAGUAACGGAGGAGCACGAAGGUUGGCUAAUCCUGGUCGGACAUCAGGAGGUUAGUGCAAUGGCAUAAGCCAGCUUGACUGCGAGCGUGACGGCGCGAGCAGGUGCGAAAGCAGGUCAUAGUGAUCCGGUGGUUCUGAAUGGAAGGGCCAUCGCUCAACGGAUAAAAGGUACUCCGGGGAUAACAGGCUGAUACCGCCCAAGAGUUCAUAUCGACGGCGGUGUUUGGCACCUCGAUGUCGGCUCAUCACAUCCUGGGGCUGAAGUAGGUCCCAAGGGUAUGGCUGUUCGCCAUUUAAAGUGGUACGCGAGCUGGGUUUAGAACGUCGUGAGACAGUUCGGUCCCUAUCUGCCGUGGGCGCUGGAGAACUGAGGGGGGCUGCUCCUAGUACGAGAGGACCGGAGUGGACGCAUCACUGGUGUUCGGGUUGUCAUGCCAAUGGCACUGCCCGGUAGCUAAAUGCGGAAGAGAUAAGUGCUGAAAGCAUCUAAGCACGAAACUUGCCCCGAGAUGAGUUCUCCCUGACUCCUUGA
This 2138-nucleotide ribosomal RNA is filed under the name human gut metagenome. RNAcentral describes it as "bacterial LSU rRNA". It matches the Rfam family "Bacterial large subunit ribosomal RNA", at positions 707 to 2826 of the family's 2925-position model. The record is from RNAcentral.